RNAcentral lists this ribosomal RNA (254 nucleotides) under uncultured bacterium. RNAcentral describes it as "partial 16S ribosomal RNA". It matches the Rfam family "Bacterial small subunit ribosomal RNA", at positions 524 to 776 of the family's 1533-position model. The record is from RNAcentral.
UACGAAGGGGGCUAGCGUUGUUCGGAAUUACUGGGCGUAAAGCGCACGUAGGCGGACAUUUAAGUCAGGGGUGAAAUCCCAGAGCUCAACUCUGGAACUGCCUUUGAUACUGGGUGUCUGGAGUAUGGAAGAGGUGAGUGGAAUUCCGAGUGUAGAGGUGAAAUUCGUAGAUAUCUGGAGGAACACCGGUGGCGAAGGCGGCAUCCUGGACCAACACUGACGCUGAGUGAGCGAAAGCCAGGGGAGCAAACGGG